AGCGAACGCUGGCGGCAGGCCUAACACAUGCAAGUCGAACGAACUCUUCGGAGUUAGUGGCGGACGGGUGAGUAACACGUGGGAACGUGCCUUUUGGUUCGGAAUAACUCAGGGAAACUUGUGCUAAUACCGAAUGUGCCCUUCGGGGGAAAGAUUUAUCGCCAUUAGAGCGGCCCGCGUCUGAUUAGCUAGUUGGUGAGGUAACGGCUCACCAAGGCGACGAUCAGUAGCUGGUCUGAGAGGAUGACCAGCCACACUGGGACUGAGACACGGCCCAGACUCCUACGGGAGGCAGCAGUGGGGAAUCUUGCGCUAUGGGCGAAAGCCUGACGCAGCCAUGCCGCGUGAAUGAUGAAGGUCUUAGGAUUGUAAAAUUCUUUCACCGGGGACGAUAAUGACGGUACCCGGAGAAGAAGCCCCGGCUAACUUCGUG
Molecule: ribosomal RNA, 433 nt
Filed under: uncultured bacterium
Lineage: Bacteria
Description: partial 16S ribosomal RNA
Rfam family: Bacterial small subunit ribosomal RNA
Source: RNAcentral